This 326-nucleotide ribosomal RNA is filed under the name uncultured eukaryote. RNAcentral describes it as "partial 18S ribosomal RNA". It matches the Rfam family "Eukaryotic small subunit ribosomal RNA", at positions 1470 to 1796 of the family's 1831-position model. The record is from RNAcentral.
CCCUUAGAUGUUCUGGGCCGCACGCGCGCUACACUGACGGAGGCAGCGAGCGUGUCCUUCGCCGGCAGGUGCGGGCAAUCUUGCGAGUCUCCGUCGUGCUGGGGAUAGAUGGUUGCAAUUGUCGAUCUUGAACGAGGAAUUCCUAGUAAGCGCGAGUCAUCAACUUGCAUUGAUUACGUCCCUGCCCUUUGUACACACCGCCCGUCGCUACUACCGAUUGGAUGGCUUAGUGAGGUUGAGGGAUUGCGCUUUCGUGUUGCAUUGCUUCACGGAAAUGCGAGAACUCCAUCAAACUUGACCAUCUAGAGGAAGUAAAAGUCGUAACA